UACGGAGGGUGCAAGCGUUAUCCGGAUUUACUGGGUUUAAAGGGUGCGUAGGUGGGUUGGGAAGUCAGUGGUGAAAUACUUUCGCUUAACGAAGGAACUGCCAUUGAUACUCUCAAUCUUGAAUGUAGUGGAGGUAGGCGGAAUGCGUCAUGUAGCGGUGAAAUGCUUAGAUAUGACGCAGAACACCAAUUGCGAAGGCAGCUUGCUACACUACUAUUGACACUGAGGCACGAAAGCGUGGGGAUCAAACAGG
Molecule: ribosomal RNA, 253 nt
Filed under: uncultured bacterium
Lineage: Bacteria
Description: partial 16S ribosomal RNA
Rfam family: Bacterial small subunit ribosomal RNA
Source: RNAcentral